UUGAACAGCUUUCCUCCCAUCCUCGUUACGUACCCUUGCAUAAGCAGAACCAUCGUCAACUACUUUUGUUUUCAUCCGUGUUGCCGUAAUAUAAGGUUGUCCUAAAAUCAACGGAUAAGAUGUUGUAUCUUGAACAAAGAAAAGUUGCUCCGUUGCAACAUCCCCAAUCCGAAUUUUGACAUCUAGACAAGCUCCAUAUAAUUCGCCCUGUGUGUU
Molecule: long non-coding RNA, 216 nt
Filed under: Physcomitrium patens
Lineage: Eukaryota; Viridiplantae; Streptophyta; Bryopsida; Funariales; Funariaceae
Description: long non-coding RNA (PPAT_LNC000065)
Source: RNAcentral